RNAcentral lists this transfer RNA (74 nucleotides) under Desulfurella amilsii. It matches the Rfam family "tRNA". From Rfam's summary of the family: Transfer RNA (tRNA) molecules are approximately 80 nucleotides in length. Lineage: Bacteria; Pseudomonadati; Campylobacterota; Desulfurellia; Desulfurellales; Desulfurellaceae. The record is from Rfam by way of RNAcentral.
GGAGCCGUAGUUCAGUUGGUUAGAACGCUGGCCUGUCACGCCAGAGGUCGCGAGUCCGAGUCUCGUCGGCUCCG